UGAUGUAAUACUUCUGUUACAGACAGCUGUCCUGAUGGUACAUACGGAUACAACUGUGGUUACACGUGUAACUGUGACCAGGACAAGUGUGACCCUACUUCCGGUUGCAGUCCGCCAAACUGUUCCCCAGGGUGGUCUGGUCCGACAUGUCAGAAACAUAACGUUGCGAGGGGGAAACCUACAUCAUCCAGUGGAGAAGGUCCUUUCCCAUCAUCCCAAGCUACAGACGGAAACACUGCUGCAGACGGUUACACUGUCUGUAUAGAGACAGAUACCCGCA
Molecule: long non-coding RNA, 280 nt
Filed under: Haliotis rubra (blacklip abalone)
Lineage: Eukaryota; Metazoa; Mollusca; Gastropoda; Lepetellida; Haliotidae
Description: uncharacterized LOC124279868, transcript variant X2
Source: RNAcentral